This 33461-nucleotide long non-coding RNA is filed under the name Homo sapiens (human). RNAcentral's name for it is "non-protein coding TBX2-AS1:17". The record is from RNAcentral. Lineage: Eukaryota; Metazoa; Chordata; Mammalia; Primates; Hominidae.
CCGCGCUUCCCGCAACAGUGAAAUGGGGCGGGAGCGGGGACGGCCUGGGCCGGGUGGGGCCGCGGUCCUGAGCCUGGCGUGGCUGCCCUUCCGUCCUCCGGCCCCGUCACCUCUCGCAGGGUUAAGGGGCACUGCUGGGACCUUCCCCGGGUUGAGCCUCCAGGUGGCAGGGGGUCCCCGCCGCUUCCUCCUCUGUGUGCAGGGCCGGGGUUGCGUGACCCCGCGGGCAGUGGGCAGCAGGAAGCUCGGGCUGUGCGGCCGCGUGGCAGAGCGGACGACGGACUUGCGUCCGAGUGACGGGGCGCGGGCUGCAGACUGGCUUAAGCCCUCGGUGGCAGACGAAUGUGCCCAGGCUAAGCUCAGGGGACGUGUGUGGCCCCGUGCUAUGGGCCCGCUGUGAGGGUGCCGCCAGGCCGUCGAUCACUGCCUGGACGUGAGGAGUGUGGUGGUGAAGGACACUCCCUGGACAGAGUCGCUUCCCAUCACGGCUUCCCCGCCGGACCGCACCUCCCGGAGCCCUGGCGCCAGCCAGCCCGGUUUAGCGGCCGGACCGGGCUCCCCCGCGGUCCCAGGUCUGGUUGGGGUGGGGGCCGCGGCCUCGGUGACCCCAGCCCGCAGCGGCCCGGCCCGUCCCGUCCACUUAAACAAAUUGCCGCUGACAGGCGCGCAGUCUCUCUGGAGCCGCCGCCCUCCCGUCGCCUCCCUCCCGUCCCAAUUAUCCCGCGCAGGGUGGGGCCAACUGGCUGGGAUGGGGCGGGGGACGCGGGGAGAGCGGGCGGCUCGACUCCCUCCUGGUCGCGGGGUGGCCCGGGGAAGCGUCUCCGCAGCCACGGCCUGUGUGGCCCCGUCCCUGGUCUUCCCGGGGGAUGCGAGGGCAAGGCCCAGCCUGGCAGCUGUGGGCCCUGGAAGGGCGUCGUUCUGCACCUAAGGGCGAGAUCACGCGGCCGAGAACCAAGGCCGCAUCCCGGAUGGACUUCGGGUGACUUUCCCGGAGUUCUGGGGAAUCCCCUAACCCGGGGAGCUGCAGACGACUCACUGGCCCCGGGCCGCGGUUCCGCGGGUGGCCGCUGUACGCUUGAGACACCUGGUCCGCAGAAGUCAGGUGCACGUCUGUGCACCGUCGUGCGUUGGAUGUGCAUGGAGGCGAGAUCGUGGUUAUGGAUGUCUGGGAUCACGGGAGCGUGAACGGGGCGAUCGACUGAGUGACUUGAGAGACGGGGUAGAGCGCAGGAAGGACCCCUAGGACGGGCCCACCUGCGACGGGCGGCGGUGGGGGAGUGGGGGGCUUGCCGGCGCGUUCACAGGCUCUGGGUUCGCGUUCGGAAACGCUUUCGCAGGGAGCGGGUCGGGAUUCCCCGGAGCAGCACGGUGACGGCGUGCCACAAUCCGGGCUCCAGCUGUGCCGCCUCCGCCCUCCCCAUCCCUGCUAAGGGGCACCUGGCCUGGCUGUCAACUUCCCCUCGAACCAUGGGUUUGCCUUGUGGACCCGCAGCUUCCCCUCUGCCUGCUUCUGCUCUGUCGCGCCUUCGGAAGGGCAUGCUGCUCUCUCCCCUCCACUCCCUCCUUUACACAUGAGGACCCUGAAUCCCAGAGGUGCAGUCAUGUACCCAAGGCCACGUACCUGCUGGUGGCAGAGCUGGGAUGGGACCCUGGGACCUUAAAGAGAGCAAGUCCAAACCCACUCCUAAGAAGCCGGUGCUGCUGAGCUGCCUACCCCUGCUCCUACAGCAAGGUGAUCCUGAGAUGCCAGGGCUGCCACCCUCCCCUGGGCUCUUGCUCUGAAUUCGAGACAUACAGGAUGCACUGUCCCUUUGCCUCUAGAGCCUCCAGUUCUAGGUCUGCAGUGGGAGGGCUGCCUUCCAGCUACACAGGGGCAAGGGAGCAGCUGCAAAUUCAGUCUCUCAGCCCAGGCAGGAAGCCUGAUGGAGUCAGGAUGGGGAUCAGUGGGGUCAGCAUUCUGGAUGGGAUAGGGGCACAGGACAGGGAGGUCAGUUCGGAUUUGGGUCCCUCUAAGGGAACUGGCCAGGGUGUGAAGCAGCCAGGUGCAGACAGGGAUAGGCUCACUAGGCGUGUGACUUUGUGACCUUGGGCAAGGCCCUGCCCUUCUCUGGGGCUCAGGCUUGCUUGUCAUCUGCAAAAAAAAUGAGGCUCGAACAGAACUCUCAGGUACUUUCUAGUUUCAUGAGUCCCUGAAUUGUGAAAAUAAAAAAUUACCACUGAGAAACCAUAUACACUUCCAGACUGGUGGCUGCCUAGCCUGGCCUCUGCUCCUUGACAGAGGGGCUGGCCCUGGUGUUUGAGCUUGUGUGCUUGAAUUGGCCUCAGGCCCACCGUGCCUUUUCUCAUCUCAGACAGUACUCUUGCUCCUUCAGUUGCCACGCUGGCUCCCACCGGCCUCUUUCCAGAUCAUGAAGGUAUUUUUCCUUCAUCAAAUUGAGAGGAAGUCCGUAGUAAAGCUGCCCGUUGACCAGGUAGUGCCGAGAGAAUCGGUAGGUCACAUGGAUUCCUAAAGGUCCCCUGAUCAGCCACAGUUUGAUUCAUGUUCUGAUGCCCUCCCAGAUGAUGCCACCAUUAGGUCUGCUGGGGCUGGGGGUGAGUCCCAGAUUGCCCUGGAUGUUAUCUGUAGAGGAUAGGAAGCGGCUGCUCUGGGGCCAGUGGCCAGUAAGGUCCCCAACCCUGGGGCCCAGCUCUCCCUUCCAGCUGAUUACAGGCUAUGGCAGGCUCCAUAACCUCCCCAAUUAGCCGGAGGCCAGGCCCAAGGCCUUUCUGAUAACCUGAGCUCCAGUGGCAGCCGCUGUGGGGCCAGCUUAUCUGGUCUCUCUUAUCCUCACCCUUCCCCCACAUACUCAAAGAGUUGCCCUGACUUCAAGCAGAUGAAUAACCAGAUUGUCCUGCAAGCUCAGCCGGCAAGUCCAGCCCUACACCCACCACUUUCCCUGCCUGGGGGAGGCCACAGCUGUUUUGCCCCUGCUGGAGGGGAAGGGCCGGGCCAGGGAGGACUCCUGACUCUGUAAGCUGCCAGCCAGUUCCCUGAAUGGUUGAGAGAGCCCCUGGCAGCAAGGUCUCUGCCACAUCCACGUGUCCUGGGGUGGUUUCAGAGGGGCUCAUGCUUCCUAGGGCAGCUGAACCCAUCCCCAGGAAGACAGGCCAUGGGCAGCAUGCACAGGUAGCCUGGUAGCACUCUCCUCCUUGUCCCUUUUUGAUUGAAACAUGGCUGUAGCUGGGGGUAGGGGCAGUGCCAGGCCCAUCAAUAAUUCAGCAAGAUGGGGAAAAGCUGCAGCUCCUCCAGCACCCCCUGCUGCUGGGGCCAGGCUAGUGUUCGCAAGCAUGCCUCAGUCUGGCAUGUGACUUCUCGCCCUGCAGGUGCCCUGGCAGGAGGGACUGGCUUAUGCCACCCUGUGCAGGAUCGUCUUCUCAGCUUACAGAGCCUAGUGUGAUUCAACAACCCUCCAUCUCUGCCCCCAACAUGCCCAACUGAUCUGGUGGAGGGAACUGAAGAUGAAGGCCUCUCAGGCACCAUGGAUGGGAUGGGUGUGUGUGAAGGGGGCAGGGUCCCCAGGAGCUGCCCCAGGUCUGGCUGGACAGUUGCACGGGAAGUCCUGUUUGUGAACUCAACGUUUCCACGGCUUUUCCAUUAAACUUUACCCCAAAUCACACCUGGCUCUGUGGGUUUCCUUCCAUUCUCCAAGGCCUCCCUGGGGUCUCUGGGAAGUGUGGGCCAGGGAAGGGGGCAAAGGACUAGCAUUCGUCUCCUUCCUGCUCAAUGCACCAUUUUUUCUCCCUGUUCCUGUCUCUGUUGCCACUUACUUUAGGUCCGGAAGUGGUGGUGGUGGGGCGGGGGGACAAAAUCAGGAACGUGUCAUCUGAGGGUUCCGGCCAGGUUUCAUGAGAUACCCACCUUCACCUGACCACCCUUCCAUCUUCUGAGUUAAAAAGAGGCAAUUACAACAAGGUGCCCCCCAGAUGAGGCUUUGCCAGACUCUCCCCUUGACAGCAACCCACCAGCACAUGGCAAGCCCUGAUCCCCAGGGAGGAGGGUCCAACCCUGUGGCACCCCAAGAACUCAUUGCCUCUGGUAACAGGCAAGAUGCUUAGAGAAUGGGCUUCUUAAAUCAGGCCCCAUCCAAAUUCCAGGACAAAAGUUCUUCCCAUUCCAAUCCUCCACUGACUCCUUCUGCCCCCAAGUUGCACAUGAAAGGGGGUGUUGGGAUCCUGGGCACUCAGGCCAUAGGACUCUGCUCAGCAUUUGGAGAGGACCCUUACCCCAGCAACUCAGGGAUGGACACCAACUGCAGCGUGAUUUAUUGGACAAGACGUGCACUUUUCAACAGGGCCUCAGUAACCACGGUUUCCUUCACUGAUCAGUACAGGACCAGGGUAAAGGGGCUUAAAGAUAAGAAAGACAAACUCUUCCCAUGAACAGAUGGGGAAAGAAAGGAGGAAGAAGAGGCAUGUCCUCCCUUCCUCCUUCCCUAGUACUCUGGGCCUCCGUUCACCCCGUGCUGGAGUGGGGCUGACCAAGGGAAGCUGGGGGCAGUGUGUGUCACAGCCAGACAUGAGCUGAGGCUGUGACUGUCCACUCAGGGUCAAAAUGGCCAGGUGGACGAUCAACUCUGUCCCCACUCAGGCCCCCAGAUCUGGUCACUGUUCCAGGCUCCCCCCACCCGCCCCACCGUGGGUAUGGUUAAAAAAUACAAAAGCGGAUCCAAUGCAGGAUGUCAUAUGCAAACAUACACAGGGACCGAGCUUCUACAGUCUCUCCUGGCCACAGCCUCCACCGACAGGUGUGGCAGAGGGCAAGUGCGCUGAGGUGCUUGGAGAAGGGUCUCUUCUCCAUCCAGGUAGGAUGGGCGGCUGCUGUCACUAAGCUUGGGGAAGGUGGUUGAUGAAGGAAGAGCAGAGACUGAAGGGUAGGACCAGAGCGGGGCUUCUCCCCUCCUCCAGCAGGGGAGGGGGCUGGCCAGUCAGAAGCAGGUUGCUGGUACCUACGGGAAGCCAGUCGGGAAGAGGCUGAGGGGCUGGCUCUCAUUGGUGGGCAGCGGAGAUCGGUAGCCAUCAAAGUUUCUUGGUAUGCUGCCGCUGGUGGAGCCUGAGCUGUUACUCAGAGUCUCGAUGCUUCCCUCUCGCUGAAGUUCUGCAAGACACAGGAGAGGGCCAGGCCUGGUUAGAGUUGGGUCUGGGGAGUGGGGGCACCAUCUGGGCCAGGCUGCCUGCCUUGAGGCACCAUUCUGGGUUCACUUGUGUCCUUCCGCAGGGGGAUCCCCGCCUGCUCCCUGGAUGGGCAGGGGGCAGCUCAGGUCACAGGAAGGCUCAGCCAGGGGAGGGAAAGCCCCCUGGCUGGCAGACUCUGGUGUGAGAGCACCGUCUCCCUGCUGCGGGAAGCCCUUUAGGCCCGAAGCACGGCCACCCUGACGAUGUGUGUGGACUACACAGCUCUUCAUGAGCCCGUACCCACGCCUGCACACACUCAUGCUCAGCCAGCAUGCCCCCAACUCCACAGUGCCUUCUGUCCCGGCUCUACAGGGGAGGCAGGCGGGGAGAAGCUAGGACACGGGAGGGCUUGCAGCAUCCCUGCCUGAUCUGUCCCCACCUCUCUCCUGCCCUGCCUGUGCCUAGAGCUUCUGCCUGGCUUUGCCACUCACUCAUUCACUCAUGCUCACCCACACAGUCCAUCUGCUGGCCAGGUCUUGGCUCAUCUUUGGCACCUCCUGCCAAGUGUCCUGUUUCCCUGGGAGGGGAUGCCUGGUUUGAGAGGGGCCUGCUCCAAUGAAGAGAGGGUCCCUGUCUGCCUGAAGUGCCUCCUUUCUCCUUUCCUCUUAGGCCCCAAGUCUCCUGGAGGCCCCUCAGCAUCAACCUGAAGGGCAGGCAGGGAGUCCCGCCCUCCUCCUCCUCUGCCUCCCUGGCCCUGCACAUCCAUGUUGCCACCUCAGAUAUGGCAGCUUGAUCCAUCUAAUUCAGCUGUGGGCCGCUCAAUUGUCCUACCAUCUCUUGACCCAAGUCAGGUCCUGGGGUAGGUGGGUUGGGAAUGGAAUUCCCUGCUUGCUGAGUGCAAGGAAGAACCAAUUACUUCUUGGCUUUUUGAAGGUGGUCAGUUCCGAUUCCCUUUCAGUCUCCCCCGGGGGCUCUGACAUAUGGGCACACACACACCGGGCAGUCUCUGGAGCCUGCCCCAAGCCAAGAUAUGUAGACCUGCAACCUUUCCUUCUCCAAGGGAUGCCUGCCUGUGACUGAAGGAGUCUGGCCUGUCCACCCAGGAGUGCAGGACCUCAAAGCAGUCACUUGAAACAGCAAGAUGUGCAAAAACGUUGCACUCGUCUGGUCUGGCUUGAGACCUUGGUCUUCAUCCUGCAACCGCUCCCAGGCCCCCUGCCACCACACGCGCAGUACAGCCGGCUCUGGUUAGGGAAUGAAGGGGUCAUGGCCUUCACUCCUGGGCUGGCCAACACCAGCCAGCCAGCAACGAACCACUGACCCCGACUCCCUGCAGGCCUGCAGCAGCCACAGAGUGGAGUGGGGAGGAGGCGGGCACCUGGGCCUGGGGAGGGGAGGGGCCCUUGGGAUCCAUCAGCCGAGUCUGUCGCCGGGGUCUCGGUGGGACAGUUCACUGGGACACCAGGGCUUCUUGGCAAAUUGGGGAAAGUAGGGGGAUGGGACUGUGGACAGGGACCGAGGGCCUGACUAUGGUCCCUGACCUCCAGGGGACAUUGGCUGCCUGGGAAAGUCAAGAGCUAUCUGGAUAUGGAUAGAAAACAAGGCAGAUAGGAUCUUUUUCUCCUGCUCCUCCUUCAGUAUCACCCUAAUCUGGGGGGACAGGCCAUCGUGCCAUGAGAUGGAGAGGGUGGUAAAGCCAAGAGUAGACCCUGGGGAUUUUACAUGGAAGCUCCAGACUCCAAGAGACCCCUCUGUUGCCUUAUUUCCCCAAAAGCAAGCCGAGGAGUUGUGGGCGAUCUGUCCCACCGCCCUCAUGCGCGGCCGGCCCGGCACUAGGGGGCGCUGACAGCAGGGCCAGGCGGGCGGGAGAAGAGCACCGGCAGGCGCAAGAAAAGCAGGGGCUUCCUUAGGAUCGGGCCGCCAGGCCUAAGGAAGAAAGCCCCCGAGGAAGGAGCAGGCAGGGCCACCAGGAUGGGGAAGGCUGGCCCCUUUUUACAGCUCAGGGGCAGCUUUAACGGCCUUGAUGCAAAAUGCCUCCACAUCCACACUGCCAAGGAAGCCAGGAAACGGGAGCCCGGGCCCAGGCAUGGCACCCCCACCGUCCCUUGGCAUAGGCCCCCAGCAAAUACCCCAGCAGCCUCGGUGGUCCCACCAAUGAGUCUUCGUGGAUGCACCCCAGCCCAUCACACCACAGUGCAGGGAAAGCCACCCAGGGGCUUACAAGAUGAAUGUCCUGUUCUUGGGGGCCAGGGACAACCUGAGCGCCUUGCUCGCAUUUUCCCUUUGCCAGUUAGACCCGGGUAAGAAGGAUGGGGGCAGCGUUCUCCCUCGCCCCCGCAUCCCAGGGUAAGGUAACCAAGGCUCUGCUGAACUUCUCCCUCCUCUGCCUCUGCCCUGGCUAAGCCUGCCCUGUGCGCCUCAGUCUCCUGACUCCAGGUCACCCACCCUGUGCCAAAGCCAGAGUGGGCUAUGUACAGCACAGCCCUCAUCUUGCUUUUCCUCUGCGUAAAAGCCUUCAGCCACUCCUAACAGUUCCCAGGGCAAGGUCUGAACUCCCCAGCACUGUGAAAUGGCCCUCCAUGACCUGCCGCCAACCCCUCACUAGUGAUACCCGUUAUUAUGUCUGAGACACAAAAGUGAUGAAGCUGUGUGGUGUUUGGACCCAUCCAGGUGGUUCUAGGCCUCUGGGCCUGUGUUCAUGUAACUUGCUCUACAAAGCCCCAGAACACCUACUCAUCUUCCAAAGCUUAGCACGAGUGUCCACUCCUCUGUGAGCCCGUCCUGUCCCCCGAGCAGAGCCUGCCAGACCCUACCCUGCGCUGUGCUGACUCCUAGCCCAGGCCCCCUCAUCGUCCCAUGUGUCUCAUCUAGGGGAGACCCCCUCGGGGGGGUUCUGUGCCUUAACUCUGUAUCCCUAGUGGCCUGGAAAAUCAUGGGUGCCCUAAACAUUUCUAGCAUGAAUGAAUGAAUGAAUGAAUGAAUGAAUGAAUGAAUGAAUGAUGUGGUAAGGGGAGGUGGGGGCCCAUUCUUCAACACAGACUAACUGAAAGAAUCGGGGGCCUGCUGGCCCCGGGGCAGCUUUGUGGGCGCUUUUCUCCACGCCUCCUCUCAGACCCCUUCUGCUCCUCCCCCUGCAGGCAGGGGUGUGUGUGGGAAGUGGAGGGGAGGAGGGCUGCUCAGAUUCCCCCCUCCAAGUCAUCCCGGCCGCCCAGCCCUACGAGCAAGCGGCAAAUGGAAACGUGUGGCCUUACCUUCCUCCAUCCCGAACGCAUGCUUUGUUACUGUUGGGUUGCUCACGGACGCUGGGCUGUUGGCAUUGUUUUUUUUUUCCUUUUUUUUUCCCUUUUGAAAAGAAAAGCAUUGAGGAAUCUUUUUGGAAAAGAUAUGGACAACGAUUGAGAAGUACACUGAUCUCUGCAAGCAGGUGGAGAGGUGUCAGGAGGCGCAGGGGCACACCGUGAGGAGGGGGAGUUUGCAGUCAAGGAGGACAGUGACAUGCAUGUGUAGGGGCUGGGGACCAAUCUGUCUUGGGGGUCCCAGAGAUGGAUCUGCUGUGACAGAGGGGGCCAAGACCCCGUUCAGAGUGGGGGAGGGGGAGAGGAGUCACAGGUUCAACAUGAAGAACAGUUUUAGGAAGUGGGAGGGCUGGGGACCUACGGCCCAUGCAGUGCCAGAUGGGACCCCAUGCAGGUGGGUUGCUGGAGGAGGACAGGGAAACAGACUGCAGUUUUCAGGGAUGCCCUUGGACCUUCUGACUCAGUGGCCCAACUCCUGGCUGCUGCCCUCCUCCCCCACUCCCAAGACCUCCAGGUCUGAGCAGCUGUCCUGCGGUUGAGGUGGACCUGUUGGGGAAGUCCAUCAGGAACCUGCCAGGGCCCGAAAGAGAGUGCUGGGGGCUCUGUGGCAGGAAAUGAGGGAAGUGUCCCCAGCCACCUCCCCCCUUAGAGGUGUGGAGAUUCUGGUCAGUGGGAGAAGCUUUAAAAGAGCUUGUUCUCCAGGCCCCAAAGUAGGGCAGGAGAGGAGGAGUGGCUUCCAGGCAAGUGGCUAGACCCAGUCACCUCAUUGUGACCUUGCACUCUCCAGGGAUGUGGUCCCCUGGGUGGUGGGAGCUAUAUACCCACAUUGCAGAGAGCAAAACCAAGGAAGACGAAGCAACCACUAGCUCUGGUUCUUCACCUCCCACCCCCAUCCCCCAAGAAAGAACGGGUGCUGGUGCGGGCCACAGGGUGCUGGCAGCUCCGGCAUCACUAAGACCGGCCCCCAUGCCCAUGCUGGAGAGCCAUUCCCUGUUGGCUCAUAUUGGAAAUGGGCCUGUUACCCGCAGCUGCCCCUCUAUGCCUUGGGCCAGGAUGGACAGCCCCCAGGGGUAGGGGGAUGAUGAAUGAGUAGCAACUGAAGGAAAGGUGCCUCCGCUCUCAUGAAACAAGUGAAGGAUGAGACAGCCGGAUCCUUGGCACUACUGUUCUCAGGGUGAAAAAAAAGCAAGCUGGAUCCUCAUGCUGCCCCACUCCAUAUGGAGCCCAUCCAAACUCAGAGGUGUCAGAGGGGGCAGAAAGAGGGGACUGGCCUUUUUAGAGAGAAGCAACCCUGGUCACUUGGGAGCGUGUGCCCAGGGAGAUGGGGUGGGGUGGGGUCACUCUUUGUCUGUGAGGAGGCAAGGGCAUGGCUGCCCACACCUUGUCCUACUCCUGAGCUGGGCCGUGCAGCAUGGGCCCAUGCACCUCCACCCACAGUGCAGUGUUGUGGCCCCUUUGCCAGGCUGUGAGUUGACGGGCAGCAGACUCCCCGGGAGGGGUGAAAUGCGGAGGGCACAGGGCCUGUGUGAGACGCAGGGAAAGCUGGAGAGGCCAAACCAGGGGCCCCAGCAGUAGGUCGGAGGUGAAGUCGGGCCAGGUGCAGUGGCUCACACCUGUAAUCCCACACUUUGGGAAGCCAAGGCAAGGGGAUCACUUGAAGCCAAGAGUUCAAGACCAUCUUGGGCAAUACAGCAAAACCGUGUCCAAAAAUUAAAAGAUUAGCCAGGUGUGGUAGCACGUGCCUGUAAUCCCAGCUACUCAGGAGGCUGAGGCAGGAAGAUCCCUUGAGCCCAGGUGUUCCAGGCUGCAGUGGGCUAUGAUUGUGCCACUACACUCCAGCCUGGCAUCUCAAAAAAAAAAAAAAAAACAAAAAACAAAAACAAAAAAAAACAGUAAGGAAAUCCUGCUUUGGGCUUGGUGUUCUCUGGGUCUCUUCCAACCUGGACGUCUGGCCAAUCAAAGGCCCUGCGAAAAGCUCCUCUGGCUUCGGAAGUGGGGGCAUUGAGCCCUAGUCUCAGGGACCUGAGAGGGGCCAGGGAGGACAGUGCUCUGUUUGUGUUUAGGAAGAGGCUGCCUGGGGCCCCUGGUUCACCCUUUGGGCAGCUCUGGCACUUCCGUCACCACAAAAGGAGCAGCGUCCACGGCUCUGUACAUGAGCAUUGAUGCUGCCCACUGAAGGGAUUGGCAGAGCACUGUGACUGGGCCCUGGCUGCAUUUCUCCACCCACGCUGACUGGUGGGAGUAGGAUGAGACCUUAGGGUCCAGUCUGACCCUGCACCCACAGCUCUGCCUGCUUCCAGCAGUGAGCAGGAGGAUGAGGAUGUUUCCCCUGGCCAGUCCAGCCCCCAGCCUCAAGAGAACCCGAGAAGGCAGAGGGGCAGUGUCUGCCCAUGUUGGUGGAGGCGUUUAGGGAAGUGGUUAAGAGCACACCCCCUGGCCACCUGCUACCUGGGAGACUUUGGGAAAGUUACUCGAAUCUUUGUGCCUCAGGUUCCCGAACAUGAGGUUAACGAUGUCUGUGUCAUGGCCUGGUUCUAAGAAUGAAAUUAAAUAAUGCAUGUAGAGUGCAUCACAAAGUGCUUAACGCUUCCAGUCAGCAAAUGUGAGUUACUAUUAUUGCUGCAAUCGGAUUAGUCAUUGUGAUGAUCCACAGGACUACAGGGUCCCUCUCCAGCCUCCCUCCCCAGCAGGUGUCUCUGCCAUCCAGGCCCUCACCAGCUUGGCUUCCACCGGAGCUUGGGAAGGAUUCUUUCUUUUUAAUCAAGAAAUGGCCCAGGGAGGAAGAUGGCAGAUGUGUGUUUACAGCUUUUCAUUUCCCUCCUCGCCUCUUUGCAAAUACCCUCUUCCAAAAUGGAAAAUAAAUUUCCAACCCUGUUGACAUGCAUCGAUUUUUCCCUCCUGCAUCCACCUCUCAGCUCUCCCACAUCAGCAGGGACUGUGGUUAAGACCCUUGCUGGGGCUGGGUUCCGGGGUGGCCCAGGGGAGCGGAUGGCUUCGCGGCACACAGCAGCCAGCCGAGCUGCCCGCGCUUGCCCAGUGCCUGGCUUUGAGAAGGUUUGCAACCAACAGCUUCAGUACCUUCUGCCUGGGGGUUCCUGAAUGGGCAGUGAGGUACGUAGUAGGGGAGGUCCUCUCAUUAGGAGGUCGGGCAUUUUCUGCAUUUUCCCUUGAUGGGACAUGUGAAGAGGAGACCAGCGGGUCACGUGACUGCUCUAAGUUCAGCAAAUGAACCAUAUGGGGUCUGCCCCAAGCGAUCAACUUGGUCAGCAAGGGGCCUGCACCCAGGGCCCUUAUGUCCUGCAAACAGGACCAGCUAUGCAAAAUGGGGCUUGGAGAGAGAGAGAGACUAAGUGGAAGGAAGACUUGAGCAAAUUGUGUGGGGUUGAGCAGGGCUGGCAGCCUCCUGGUGCUGGCGCUGGCACCUGGAGAGGUGGUGGCCCAGGCAGACAUGGCUCCAGGCUGCUUGUCUUACACCAGUCCUGUGCCUGAAAACAACUGCUGUCUCUUCCAGAGCGUGGCUGAGGAGGCGGGGGCCUGUUCCGUGAGACAGAGAUGGAGUUGGCUGAGAUUGGCUCUAAGCCCCUGACAGCCUUGUCAGAGACCACACUCUGGGAUGGAGCCAGCCUCAGCCCCCAGGGCACUUUUUAGGAGGUGAAAAGUGCAGCAGUUAAAGGCAGCCCUGCUUCCCACCACACUGAGCAUACACCCACCUCCCAGGCUGCCUGGCUCCCCUGCGCUUUCCCUCUUCCCCAGGCUUCACCCUGCAGUGUGGGGCUCCCCUCCCCACCAGGUUCCUCCCUCAGGCUUCAGAGCUGGCUGCCAGGCCCACAGACCAGGGGUCCUCUUUGCCUACCAGCAGUGAGCGCUUGGGAGGACGGGGGUGCUGGGGCUAGCAGGGACUGAGAAAGGAGUCCCCUUUCUCCCCUGGCAGAGUACAUGCGGUCACCACAUGCUAUACCAGGGGAGAGAAAAUGCUGUGCUGACCCAGCUCCUCUGUCGCUGGUUUGGAUGUAUCUGAGGACUGGCUGGAGCCAUGCUCAGGAUCGGCCAGAUGUGGGAGAAGCCCUGCCCUACCACUCCCUGUGGAUGGCCCAGGGAGGAGGAGGACUGUGCGAGGAGGCCGAGACUUCACUCUGGCCUCAGUUCUGUCACAGAUGUGCCAAAUGACCUGGGCAAGUCACUUCACUUCUCAUCUGCGUCAGCAUCUGUGGCACAGGAGGGGAGGGUCUGCUCUAGUGACCUCACUGGGCGUGUACGGCUCUAAUGAGAAAAGCAAGUGGGGGGCUUUAAGAAGCAGAACCCGCACUGGACACACACGUGAAACUGGGUAAAAAAAUACGCUUUGCUGCCUCUGCUGUCUUUAGCAGCGGAGGGCCCUCCAGGAGCGGGGCUGAAAUGUCUCUCCUAGCUCCAGCUACUCCAUGCCAACCUGGGGGCAGAGCCUUGGCUGAUGCCAUUUAGGGUGGACUCAGUGCCGAGGGGCAUGGCAGGUGGGCUUGGGGGAUGGAGAAUGCCCGGCCAGGUGCUGCCACGCCACCACUCUGUGUGGAUGCCAAUGGGGGGCCUGGAGGAGUCUCAGGCACCGGCACACAGGCCCGCUCUGCCCGGCUAUGAAGAGGGGACAGGGCUUGGAGACUCGUCCUUGGCACUAGGUGCUGGCAGCUGGCCUUGACCUGCCUGUGUCCUGAAGUCCAGCCCUGAAAGCCUGGAAGACCCACCCUAGUUCCCAGGAAGGGGUCUCCCCGAGCUACCCUCCAGCGUGACGAGAUAGCACUGAGCCCUGCAGACCACAGGAGAGUGGCUGUCCUUUGAGAGCUGCUGGCCGGCGGGCCAGAGCCACAUCUGCUUCUCAUUCAAAUGUCCAAAUGUAAUUAAAUUCCCUACGACGCAGCGGAAGAGUUUGGUAAGAUGUGGCUUUCCCCUUUUCCAUCAAGGUUAAGAAAUCACAGUCUCUCAUUCCACAGGCAGACGCGCGUUCCUCCCUGCCACUGGUCCGUCCUAUUCUGCAAAGGCAAAGGCCUGUGCUCUUAUCUGUUUUCUAGAGCUUAUGGGGCUGGGGCCAGCAUGGGAUACACGGAUCUCCCCCACCCCCGUGUUCCAUUUACCCACCUGAGAGGAUUAACAGCUGAGGCCAAAGCUGCGGGCUUGCAGCCGAGCAAGACAGUGUGCUGGGGGUUCAACAGGGGUGGGGGUGGUGAGUUAGUGCCCCUACUCCUUCUGAAAGUGUCUCCCUGACCCUGAGGAGACAGCACUGUGCCCAGGCUCACCUCAGUGACACACCAGUGUCCUUCCACUGCUGGGAUGUGAGGGUGUCAUAAUACCCUGCUGAGGAGACCCCGGCUUGCUUUGUAGCUCCUCACAGUAGGAAGUGCUUGAGGGUUACGAUUCUGGAGUCUUUGGGACAAGGACCUCCCUGUACCUGGCCUGGCCCGGCCCUACAGCCCAGGACACGGUGAGGCCCUUCCCCACCUCUUACUUCUCACCUUGGGGCCCUGGGACUGCGGCAAGGAGGCGCCCCUCUCCCCGCCCCCUCCCUGUACACGAAGGAGGAGAGGUAUGAGAGAUGGUGGAGGAAUCCGUCUAACAGACAAGGCCCAGAGUGGUGCCUGGCCCUCUCCAAGAAUCUCCAGGACCUCCAUGUCUCUCAGGACUGUUUGCCACUUCUGGCCUGGAAGGGCUCUGGACAGCUGAAGGGACAGCAGGGUCCAAGGUGCAGUCCUCUGUGAGAGGGGGUGCCCUGUUUCAGGCUUCAGUGCCUCUGCCCCUCGGCCUCCUGCCCAGGACUUCCCCAUAUCCAAAUCCAGGCAGAAUGGUCCCUGGAGGGCUGCUUUUCCCGGCUUCCCUUCCCACUGGAGGAUCUUCUGUUCAUGGUUUCUUUCAGUUCAUGGCAUUUAUGACUUUCAUGGUAAUGGUUCCAUUCACCUUCCCCUAUGCCAAUUUUUCUAAUCAUUGUGGUACAGGCUUUAUGAGAGUUUCUUUCUUUCUUUCCUUCUUCCUUUUUUUUUUUGGAGGCAGGGUCUUGCUCUUUCACCCAGGCUGGAGUGCAGUGGUGCAAUCUCAGCUCACUGCAACCUCCGCCUUCUGGGUUCAAACAAUUCUCCUGGCCAGGCGCGGUGGCUCACGCCUGUAAUCUCAACACUUUGGGAGGCCAAGGUGGGUGGAUCACCUGAGGUCAGGAGUUCGAGACCAGCCUGACCAACAUGGUGAAACCCCAUCUCUACUAAAAAUGCAAAAAAUUAGCUGGGUGUGGUGGCGGGUGACUGUAAUCCCAGCUACUGGGGAGGCUGAGGCAGGAGAAUCCCUUGAACCUGGGAGGCGGACAUUGCAGUGAGCUGAGGUCGUGCCAUUGCACUCCAGCCUGGGCAACAAGAGUGAAACUCUGUCUCAAAAAAAGAAAAAAAAAAGCCAAAAAACAAAAACUGAUUCUCCUUCCUCAGCCUCCCAAGUAGCUGGGAUUACAGGCACGCGCCACCAUGUCUGGCUAAUUUUUGUAUUUUUAGUAGAGAUGGGGUUUCACCAUGUUGGUCAGGCUGGUCUCAAACUCCUGACCUCAGGUGAUCCACCCUCCUUAGCCUCUCAAAGUCCUGGGAUUAUAAGCGUGAGCCACCGCGCCCGGCCCCAGGCUUUAUGAGAGUUUCUUAAUAAGUGGGGGUAUUUUUCAUUUUGAAACAAGCUGUCCUGAAAGUUAAUGACUUAUUGCGGCUGUGGCUGCUACCCAGAGACCAAUGAAGGUUGGGGAGAGGAUGACCAGUUGGGGAUAGGAGAGAAUUUUCUAGAUUAAUAAUGCUGUGCUGAGGUUGAGGUCCCUUUAAGACUCCUGGCCAGCUCCUGUGUUAGAGUCCCACAUGCUGCUCACAGCAACCCUACCAGAGAACCAGAACCACAUACAGGCACACAUGGCAUCUGCGUGCUGAAGAAUGCUGGCCCUGGGGACAGGCACACACACGCAAGUUGGUGUGAACCAACCAAUCCCAAUGUCACUGACCUGGCUCUAAACAGGAAGAGCUUUUUCGGUUUCCAGAUGGUAAACCUGAGUUUAGUAAUAGAUUUAACUUCUCGGUGGCAUUUAGCGUCUGGUAGCCUUGACAUCAGUGAACAAGGUUUGAAGUUAAAUAACCCAGUUCUUGGUCUAGUGUUCUAGGCCAAGCCUAGCCAAAGGAAUGGUGUUGGGGCACGGCCUCUGUUGCCCUCUUUGGGGUCCCAGCCUGUGUCUCAAGCCCACACGCCGCGGCUGGGAAAGGAUCACAGUCUCAGCUAAUUGUGGUGGUGCCGCCGCCCGUCCAGAUGGAAACGGCCUGGCUGAUGCCGGUCUGCCUUUGUGCGGUGCUCACAGACUGGCUGCUGGUGCCGGGGCUCUAUUCAUUAUUCAAUUCAGCUGGCUCAGGCGAGCCUUUCCAUUUGCUCCUCCAGGAGGAAUAACAAAUCUAGAAAUGCAAUUCCACUUUGGUGUAUUAAGAUAUCGAUUUGCCUGUCGGGUGGAAGUGCAUUUGUUCUGUCAGUCCUCCCGUGGGUAGGAAGGGGUUAACCAAAUGUUUAUCACAAGGCUGGCUUCAGAGUUGAAAGUAAUGUGAUCAGUAAUGAAUUUUGUGUUACAUUAGGUUGUAUAAAUGGACAGACAAGCGCAGACAACAAGUGGCCAGGAGUCGGGGCUAAUCUAAUGAUGUAAAAAUAGAGACAGCACCAAUUAUACUAGGGGCCAGCUCCAGGCUCCUGCAGGGACUGCAAAUGAAUAGGUACAAAUCAAAUUACUCACUAAUAGACGCACUACAAGAGGGGCAGUCAAUGGUAAAUGCAUUAGAGCCUAGUGACCUCCCUGCUCUGCACAGCAGAGUCCGAAAAUUUCACUUCCAUCUUCAAAGUGGGGGGCAGGGAGUGGCGUUCUCAAAGAAACUCUUGUUGGGUGAAGGAUGACAACCACUCCCCAUCCCAAACCAGUCCCCUUCCAGAAGAGACCUCCCAUCUGAGCUGACCCCUGCCCUCCCUAGAGUGCUCCUGGGCCUGGGCACGAGGGGGUAGGAGGGCACCCUCUUGAGGGACAAAAGAAGCAACGGGACAACCCCUUCCACAUAGGCAAAGAUAGGACGUUACAUACCAAAACACUUCACUGCCACGUGUCUCUCAGGGGGGAAGGUUUUUACUGCUACGUCAAGGGCUGUGUCUGUAUUGAAAAUAAAAUAUUCCUUUAAAGCGGAUCACAAACUGGACCUUUAAGAGAGCAGGAAGAGCUGAGAUCAAAGUGAGUCGAUACCCAAAUCUGGUUUGACCACUGAGAGCUUUGCGGGGGUGUUCAUGGUCUGUUCCCAGGCACAGCACAUCUAGGGUUUUACAGAUUUCUCACUAGCCUAAACUGGUAUCAUCCUUCCCUCUCUCCCUCCUCCCCAGUCCAGCUGCCUGAGUUCCUACACUCCUGCCUGCUGCACAGGGCUGGGGUAGGGAAUGAUGUAGAGAGAAAGCCGGCAUCCUGGGUAACCCCUCAGAUUUUCUUCCUCCUCUCAGCUUCCGUGGAUUUAGAAACCAGGUCUGAAGUUCAAAGCUGCAUGGCAGUGUGUGGUUGGGCUGCUUAGAGAAAGGUCACAAAGACCAGCUCAAGGGCACUAACCACAGGAUCCUACUCAGCUCUCAGUGGUCGGGGAUGGAUAACGCAUGAAACCGAGAAACUCCAGGCCUUAUAAGGCCCCAGCCCAGGCUCGUACUCCACCAACCCACCCCUCGGGUCAGCACCAAACAGUCACACACACCAGCAUGGAGAUGGCACGCUGGCCCUGGCCAACUGGAGCUGGGAGAUGAUGGGAACAUUCCAGGAAAACGAACACAGCGGGCGUGGAAUGGAAAAGUCAUCCUGAACAAAUGACACGACUGGAUGGCGCUUCUCCCAAAACUCAAUGAAGGGUGCAGAGGGGUGGAACUGCAAGCUAGCGGGCUACACCCCAUAAAACAUAUGUGGGUAACAGGGGAGGGCUGCGAAGCCUGGUGCUGGGGGAUUUUGCCAGCAAAUUAAAAAAUGUCUUAUGCAGUGGGCCGGCAGGUCCCCGGGGGCAGGGGUGACGUGGGAGGAGGAGUGGGCAGGAAGAAAUAAGUAAAAGGCCAAGGCUGGAAAGCUGUUUCCGGGAUGGGCUCCAAAAUGCCUUCUUCUACUAGGGAACUUCACUUCUCCGUUAAGUUCAAUCGGAUGGGCUUGGCUUGGCCUUCUUGGUACAGUGCUCUAUGGCUUCUAGGAGCCAAGAUUCUGGAUUCCUAAAGGGUCAGAGGGUCAUUGCCAACUUUCAUUUUCUGUGAGCAAGUGUGUCUCCCUCUCUCAGCAGCCACCACAUCCAGGGGGUGGCCUCCACAUCUCGGGCCAUGUUUCGAGAAGGCAGAGGGGCAGAGGCAAGGGCAGAAGGGAAAGGUGGGAAUUUAACCAUCCAUGACCGCGUUCAACUUUGUUCAGAAUCUCACGCCUCACAGAAAGGUCAGUGGUUAACAGUCAAUACUGUGGCAGAGGAGGAGGAACAGGGAGAAAUCCUCCCUUUUGUUAACCAUUUACCUAUGUUGAUGCUUCCAGAGGAGAGCCUGGCUCUGGGGGUCCAACAGCCCUCCCCCAGCCCCUCAGUCCAAGCCUGUGCCUAUCCACAGUAAUUCCUGCUUUCAUGUUGGGGCAGCACCUGGAGAGGGGACUCUGAAGGGUCACAGAGGUCGCACUGGCACUUCCUCCUUGUUGAUAGGAAUCACUGUGCCUUGGUGAAAGAGUUGAAAAGUCACUUUAGACAACUAAGAAAUAUGCAGAGGAGAGUCUCAGCCCAAACUCCCAUUACAGCUCUGCCCCUGGCGGGGCUUCCAGUAGCCUUAGUGACGAAGGUGGGGUGGGGGAAAUGAUCUACCCAGAAUCAGAUUUGAGACCUGGCCAGAAAUUAACAAGUGUGACUUUUAAUCAAUAACUAUUCCCAUUGCUUUGACUGGCUUUCAUUUACCUCUCAGGGGCCACAGAAACCCAUCCAGUCACUCAACAAACAUUAACUGAGGCUCAGCCUGGCUCUCCUUCCAGUGCUGGUUGCUGGGCAGGGAGAAGGCUGGUGGUUGGGGAUAACAAAGAUGGUUCAGACUCAGUUCAAAGAACCAGUAGUGGGUCAAGACACUCGUGGGAGUAUGGGUGAGGGAGGGGCUGAAGGGACCACCAGGGCCGGCCCUUUUCCAAUGGCAAAACGAAGGGAAUUGGUGAGCAAGUUAAUGGAAAAGGCAGCAUACACUCUUUGCCCAGGGCCAAGUAUCCAGCAAGUCGGUGGUGCAGAAAUUCAGAGACAGAGAGAGUUGCACACAUUUGGCUUCAUGGUCAGGGAAAGCAACACAGAGGAGGUGAGAUUUGAGCUUGGCCUAAGACGACGACUGGGCAGGAUGGGAGGGCAGCGGUCCUGAGGGGUGACCAACAUGCACCAGGGCCAGGUAACAGGGUGCAUGCUGGGGAUGCUGGGAUCCUAUAUUGGCAAGAAGGUGGAGGAGGUGAAAUAUGCAGAGGUUACUGCAGAAGGGGUGGGAGGUCAGGCUGGAAGGGAAGGUGGGGAAGGCCUGUAAGAGACAGAAACAUGAUGGCAAGGAGCCUGGGUGCAAUGUGCAGGCCUGGACACUUUCUGAGCAGGGAAGUGCAACGGCAGUCAAGGCAGGCCCUGCUAGUGACAGUCCCCUUCCUCUGCUGGAUCCCUACUUAUUCUGAAUAAAAGGUGAGAAUAACUGAUAAAACUCCAACCCUUCAGACCAUGGGAGACCGGCAGGAUCUUAAUAACUGGAACCUCUUCCCAAAUUUCUUAUUUUAAUCCCACAUCUUUUAGUUAUACUCUCACUUCAAAUCUUUCGUUUCCUCCUUUGUAAACUGGAGAGGGGAAGGUCUACCUGGCAGUGCUCUGACAAUUAGAGGACAUUUAUGUGGCAGGCAGAGUCUUAGGCGUACAAGUCCCACGGGAGGUGUGGCCACUGCUAUCGUGGAGAGGAGUAAAAGAGAGAGACCGAGUGCUCCCUGCAGCAGCCAGGACAUCAGAGUUACAGGAGGCCAACGAUUACUACAUUUACUAGCUCCUCCUCCCCACACUGUGUCACAGAGGAAGAAACUGGCCCAGAGAGGGAAAGGCACUUGCCCAGGGUCACAGGUUUACCCCAUUGCUUGAUGAGGGCUUCAAAUCCCAUCGAAAAGGGGAAAAAAACACCACAUUCUUCCCAAUAGCGGGAGCUUGGUGCUGGGAACUGAAAGGACUCUCAGAUUUGGCCUCUCCUGCCAGUGGAAAAUAGCUAGGAAUAGGCAAUCCGACACUGAACCGAGACACAAAUAGCAACACCAACAACACCACCCCUGCCGAGGCCACCGGCUGUCCCACAGUCUCGCUGGCGCAGCUGCUCCCUCUUGUCCCGAGUAGGGAUGCUUGUGACCUGCUGGUGGGACUGGGCUCUCUAUCUGGUGGCCCUGUGCCUCUGGGGACACUUUCUUCUCUCACCCUCAGCAAUCAGGGCAUUAGGCACUGGGGAGUUCCAGCUUUGCCUCCGCAUCCUAGAAAGACCAUGCCCUGUGGGCAGGGGAGCACUCCUGACUUCCACUUGGUCCAGCUCAGCUAGGGAGGCCCAGCGGGAAGCUGGGGGUAGAAGUCAGAGAGAAACAGACCCACCGUUCAGUAUUGUGGCCUCCUCUGGGGCUUUAAUCUCUUUGAGGGUAGGAAACUUGUCUCUCUUAUUUUUCUCCAGCCUAUUGGGGAAGAAACUGGCAGAUACCGAUGGAGACCCUGCCUGCCCCAACCACAGAAAGAACACGUUGGGCCACUGAUGAGGUCAUUAAGAGAAGACACUGAGAGAACUUUUGUAGAUGCUGUAGAAGGAGGAAAACUCCAGGGCCCAAUUAGAUAAGGCAGAGGAAAAGCCCUAGGUUCUGGCUAAGUUGCUUGGGUGAUAGCAUUUGCUGAGACAGGUGCAAUUUUAGGAGCACUGGGCAAUCAGAGAUAUUACCCAGAGAAGCCUAGAGACUUUGGCAAGAGAGCCAGACCAAGCCAGAAGCUAUGGCUUGCACAGAUGAAUCACCCUUGUGCAUCUUGAGAAGGGGACCCAGGAAGUUGGAGAGGUAAGGCUUGGAGGAAAAAAUUAAAAGACAAGACUGGGUCUCAUGGGCGGCCACACUGGGGAUCCUGGAGAGGAGAGCGAUUCCUACUUUCAGGAGGCCGAAAGACUAACCCUUCCUGGGUAUCUGGGGUAAAUACCAGUUUGCCUGAUAGAGUGGCUGUAGGAAGAGGAGAGAAGAUUCUCUGGAAAGAUCAAAGCAGCUUGGUGGUUGUGUGUGGUAGGGAAGCAGGGAAUGUGACCUAUGGGGCUAUGAGCCACGAUGGCCCUGUGAAGGCAGCAUCUUCAGCUCACACAACCUCCGGGUUUGCUUAGGACAGGAACAGUGUGGCUAACCCAGGACCCAUAAAGGAGGCUCACCUUUCACUUAGAAUCAGAGAAUCUCAGGUUUGGGAAAGGGACCUGAGAGGCCCACAUAACACAUGUAAAUGUCACUUCUCCAGCUUUCUGGGGCAACACUGUCAGUUCCUAUUUCCAUGGCCUUGCAAUGAGUUGGGCCAGUAGGAUGCAUCUAUCUACCCCUAGGGCUGGACUGGAUAAAGUUCUCUCUAAAUUGCAGAUUUUAAAAAUAUGUGGGAUGCAGAAAAUUCUAACCACCACCACAUCUUCUGAAAUGUCUGCAAAGUCAAAUGUGGUCAACUACUUUCUGUAGCGAAUACUGAUAAAUCAAUUAUCUGCUUUUAAAAUGAGACUGACCAGAGAGUAGGGAUGGCUAAAAGAUAAUUGGCCCGGUGUGGUGGCUCAUGCAUGUAAUCCCAGCACUUUGGGAGGCCGAGGUGGGUGGAUCACCUGAGGUCAGGAGUCUGAGAUCAGCCUGGCCAACAUGGUGAAACCCUGUCUCUACUAAAAAUUCAAAAAUUAGCUGGGCAUGGUGGCGCAUGCCUGUAAUCCACGCUACCCAGGAGGCUGAGGCAGGAGAAUCGCUGGAACAUGAUGGGAGGUGGAGGCUGCAGUGAGCUGAGAUUGUGCCAUUGCACUCUAGUCUGGGUGACAGAGUGAGACUCCAUCUCAAAAAAAAAAAAAAAAAAGAUAAUUAACACAUGGUACUGGUGCCUACAAUUAUUGUCAUCUGAUCAUGUGGCAACCUGGUAUGGGAUGGGGCUAAUAUGAUCCCUAUUGGAAAUGUAGCCUUAGAUUGAAAAAGUUCCCAGCCCUCCAUACUGACCCAGGCAGGAGUUCCAAGGCCCUUUGGAAGAGCUGAUUCUAGAGGCAGGAGAGGGGUCCAAUACACUGAGAUAUUUGGAUUAGUUAUUUGGUACAUAUCUGAUUGACUCCAGUAAAAACAGCUCAUAUUUGUUGGGAGCUUACUUUUUACAGUCUUAAAAUGAAAGACUUUAUUAGUACACACACACACACACACACACACACACACACACACAAAUAGUGCUUUUAGGUCAUCUUUUGCAAAACAUAGCAAUCAACAAAUAUUUGUUAUUAACUUGCUGAAACCAUCCCGUGAUCACUUAAAAACUGCCUAAUGUUCAAAGUGUUCUUUUUAUGUUAACAAGAGAAAAAGAAAGGCGCAGCCCUUUCAGUACAUAAAAGUAGCUUCUGACAGAAAUCUUUGGAAGAGCUUUAGUUGAACAUAAUCUUAAAGCCUUUUCUGCAGAGUAAUUAAUACAUAAAUGGGAAAACUCAGAGGAUUUAGGUGAACAAGCUAGAGCAUUGAUUUUCAAAGCGCAGAUUGCCAUUCACCAAUGUAUUGUGAAAUCACUUUAGUGGGUCACGAGUGCAUUUUUUAAAAAAUGAAAUAAAAUAGAAAGUACAAGAUAAUUCUUAGAAUAAUAGAAGAAAAGGAAGUACUAGAAUGCACUGGCCGUAAUAUUGUUUUGUGAAGGGUUAUAGAUGUGGGUGAACUAGGUCAGGAAGUAAAAUAUGUAUAUGACAGAAGGUAAGAGGCAAAGACUGAGCCCACUAUGUUAUCCCCAAGAAUAACUACUUCUGGCUAGGGCAGAGACUGUUAAAGAGACGGCAGGCAGGAAAAGAUGAAGCCUUUUCCUAUCUUUAAUGCUGUCACUGUAAAGAAGAAUCAGUGAGCCCGGGGCCGCAGGAAGGAACAGUCACGGGGAACAGACAGUCUCCCGGACCCUGAGAGCUGACUCUGUGAGCACUUAAGAGUCAACAGCAGGCCGGGUGCAGUGGCUCAUGCCUGUAAUCCCAACACUUUGGGAAGCUGAGGCAGGCAGAUCACUUGAGGUCAGGAGUUUGAGACCAGCCUGGCCAACAUGGUGAAACCCUGUCUCUACUAAAAAUACAAAAAUUAGCCGAGUGUGGUGGCAUAUGCCUGUAGUCCUAGCCACUUGGGAGGCUGAGGCAUGAGAAUUGCUUGAACCCUGGAGGCAGAGGUUGCAGUGAGCCGAGAUCGUGCCACUGCACUCCAGCCUGGGUGACAGAGAAAAAAAAAAAAAAAGGAAGUUAACAGCAGCAAACAGAUACUCAGAUACUCCUGCAACAGAGAUGCAUCAAGAAUACUUUAAAUGGGGGCCAGGAACUGCGGUUCAUGCCUGUAAUCCCAGCACUUUGGGAGGCUGAGGUGGGCAGAUCACUUGAGGCCAGGAGUUUGAGACCAGCCUGGCUAACAUGGUGAAACUCCGUCUCUACUAAAAAUACAAAAAUUAGCUGGGCAUGGUGGCGCACGCCUGUAGUCCUAGUCGCUCAGGAAAGGGCCCCAGGAGAGGAGGCUGAGGCAUGCGAUUCGCUUGAACCCAUGAGGUGGAGGUUGCAGUGAGCCGAGAUCGCACCACUGUACUCCAGUCUGGGUGACAGAGCAAAAAAAAAAAAAAAAAAAACAAAGAAGAAGAAGAAGUUAACAGCAGCAAACAGAUACUUCCUGCAACAGAGAUGCAUCAAGAAUACUUUAAACAGGGGCUGGGCAUCGUGGUUCAUGCCUGUAAUCCCAGCACUUUGGGAUCACUUGAGGCCAGGAGUUCGAGACCAGCCUGGCCAACAUGGUGAAACCUCGUCUCUACUAAAAAUACAAAAAUUAGCUGGGCAUGUUGGCACACGCCUAUAGUCCUGGCCACUCAGGAAAGGGCCUGAGGAGAGGAGGCUGAGGCAUGAGAAUCGCUUGAACCCAUGAGGUGGAGGUUGCAGUGAGCCGAGAUCGUGCCACAGCACUCCAGUCUGGGUGACAGAGAAAAAAAAAAUGUUAACAGUAGCAAACAGAUACUUCCUGCAACAGAGAUGCAUCAAGAAUACUUUAAAUAGGGGCCAGGCACCAUGGUUCAUGCCUGUAAUCCCAGCACUUUGGGAGGCUGAUGCGGACAGAUCACUUCAGGCCAGGAGUUCGAGACCAGCCUGGCUAACACGGUGAAACCCUGUCUCUACUAAAAAAUACAAAAAUUAGCCAGGCAUGGUGGUGGGUAUCUGAGUCCCAGUUACUCGGGAAGCUGAGGCAGGAGAAUUGCUUGAACCCAGAGACGGAGGUUGCAGUGAGCCGAGAUCAUGCCACUGCACUCCAGCCUGGACAACAGAGCGAAACUCCGUCUCAGAAAAAAAAAAAAAAGGAAUACUUUACACACGGAUCUGGACCCAUGCAUAAGGCCUGGGCUUUUGAUAUCAGAUGUGUGAGAGCACUAAAAAGAAAGACAAGGUGCAGCUACAGUUAUUGAAAGAGUUAAAGUCGAAAGAGAAAAUGUACUUAAUAUGUACACAGGUGUUUAUUUAAAAAGCUUUUUUACUGGUAUUAAGUUAUAUCUUUACCUAGACACAAAACAGUUGGAAUAAGUCAAUGUUUUGUUUACUUUAAAAAUUCUAUUUUUCUAGAAAAGGCAAUAUUGAAAGGAAUGUCUGCUAAGCAGGAAUUAGUCAAGUUAUUUUGAGGGGGGUAACAGAGAGAGGAGGGGGCUUUGAGAGACAGCAUUCCAGGCAAAAGGAAAAGUAUGCACAGAAGCCUCGCGGGCAAGAGACUGCGUAUGCUCGGGGACCCUCUGGGAGUUUAGCUUGGCUGGAGCUGGCCCAGGGCAGCAAGAGAUGAGUCUGGAGCGAGGGCAGUGGCUGGUCUCAAAGGGCUUUGGACACCGGGAUGGGGAAACUCGAGAGAAGGAAAGGGCCCGAAGAGAGGAAUUCAGUUCGUAGACAUGUGGAUAUGUCAAUAGGUAGCUGAAUAGAUGGUUCUGGAGAUCAGGAGACAAAGCCAACUUGGAAAUUAUUUGGAAAUCAUCAGUUUAUGGAUAGUAAUUGGAGACACGGAAGCAGAGAUUGCCAGGUACUGAGAGAGAAGAGACCAGGGCCAAGACAAGGCCUUGAGAAAUACGCCUAAGGACGACAGAAGAAAAGGACUGAGAAGUAGCCAGAGGCUGAGUAAGAAUUCAUCGUCUCUGCGUCUCUAUUGCAGACACUGCGCUAGGCACUGUCUUUUGCUGCAAAAGAUGGGUGCAAACUGAGAAUGGGGGCGGGGCUAUGAGGAAAACACAGAGCAGGCUCCAGUGGAGAGUGGAGACCAUGGAUCUGUAGAGGCACCAAUUGGAAUAAUAAGUGCUCUUUCUUCAGGAACCCAGGUGUGAGAGCAGAGUUGGAUUGAGCUCGAAUUGGAGUUUGCCGAAUGGAAAGAUGGAAGGGUGACGGGGCAAGGGGCAGAAGGAUAUUAGCAAAAAGGCAGUUCAGCCAGUUGUCUUAGAACUGGACUUGCAAAUCACAUAGGUGAUUGAAUUCAACUAUUUGGUCGGCAUCCAUCACGGACCAAAGAACUGCCAUCUGUCUUAUAAGUUAACCAUAAUUUAAAACUGACCUUCUCAAACUUCAGCAUGCGCAGGGAUCCUGCUGAAAUGCAGACCUCGGCUGAGCAGGGCUGGGCAUGGCCUGAGGCUUUGCAUUUCUCACCGGCGCCUGGCUACGGAUGCUGCUGUGGGUCUGAAGACCACACUUUUAAAAAAAUAUAUAUUUUUUAAUUGACAAAUAAAAAUUAUAUAUAUUUAUCAUGUACAACAUGGUGUUUUGAAAUAUGUAUACAUUUGGAAUGGCUAAAUCGAGCUAAUUAACAUGCAUUACCUCACAUACUUAACAUUUUUUGUGUCGAGAACACUUCAAAUCUGCUCUCUGAGUGAUUUUCAAGAAUACAUUGUUAUUAACUAGAGUCACCAUGCUGGACAAUACAUCUCUUGAACUUAUUCUUCUCAUCUGACUGAAACUGUGUAUCCUUUGACCAAAGCUAUCCUUCAACCCCCAGACCACUCUGAAUAGUGAGGUUUGAAAAGGUUUCACUUUACUUUGUGGGGAGCUGACCUGCCCUAGGGUACAGCUUACCAACCAGGUGCUGGAGUGCACAGACUGUUACAUCUCCAGAACCUCUGUUAGCUAGCUGACACUGUGUGACAGGUUGAAAUUGGCCAUAAUAGGAGUUUUUACAUUACAGAAAUCCACAAAUCAAGGCUGGCUACACCUAUGUAACAGUGAGGCGUGCUAUAGAAUAGGCUUCUGUGUCAGGGAUCAUGAGAGCAAGUUUUCAGUUGCUCUCUGUGCUUCAUUCAUACUUUGAUAAAGAGGCCAUGGGUCCCAAUUGCUGUGUCACAUGUGGUGCCUGCUGCAAAGCAUUAAGGGAACUGACUUAGCUCUGGUGCAUCAGAGGACCUAUCAGAGGCAAACACUUGGGGAUACCUCAUUUGUCCUAUAAGCCACCUAGAGAAGUAGAGUUGUGGGAAGAAAGAGGGGGACUGAGAUGUUGCUAUAGGCAAAGAGUGGCUUGCUGGAAAUUCUUACCCACGUUGCACUGUAUUUCCCCAACUACCUCCGGGCAGUAGGCUGACCUGGGCACGGGUGUACCAGGGUGCCCUUUCAAAGUCCUGGGCUGCACUACCAGGCUGAUGCUUUACCUCUAGUUGGAAAAUGUGAAAAGUGAUUCUCAGCCAUGGAAACUGGGUAACUUCCAUAACAUCUGCUUUGCUUACUGGCCUUUAAAAUGGGAGUAGUUUUAGGCUGGGCAUGGUGGCUCACGCCUGUAAUCCCAGCUCUCUGGGAGGCCGAGGCAGGCGGAUCACGAGGUCAGGAGUUCAAGACCAGCCUGGCCAACAUGGUGAAACCCCGUCUCUAUCAUAAACGCAAAAAUUAGCUGGGCGUGGUAGCGGGCGCCUGUAAUCAUAGCUACUCAGGAGGCUGAGGCAGGAGAAUUGCUUGAACCUGGGAGGUGGAGGUUGUAGUGAGCCAAGAUUGUGCCAUAGCACUCCAGUCUGGUGACAGAGCAAGACUCCGCCUUAAAAAAAAACAAAAAAAGAACAAGUUUUUUCUUAAAAAUAAAACAUACAUCGAAUAUGGUCAGAGAAAACCAACUAAAUUCCUUUUGGUGACAGUUUGGGGAGGACAAUGAAAUCCCUCUGCUAAAAAAAAAAAAAGGGAGUCUCCUAUUUUCUGACCUGUGGGUCAUGCAGUUUUAAUUUCCUCUACCUUUUUUUCUUUCUCUUUUUUUAUUCUUUUUAAUUUCAUGAAACUGCUUAAGGCCACAAAGCCUCUCCUGAAUCCCUCAGCUGUCUGGCAGAUGCAUUGCUGCCAGGGCUGUGCAGGUUACUAUGCCAGGCUGAAGUUCCACAGCUGUGACUCAAUGCACCUUCAAAUCCUCUUGCCGGAUGACAGUGAGAUGCUCCAAGGGGCUCCUGAGAAGGCGGUGGGAGAGAAGAGCCACCCGGGAGCUCCUCCAGGCCUCGGAAGAGGGAGGCUGCCGGGGAUGGGUCCAGUGGCACCGGGCUCCGGUUUAUGUGAGCCGAGGCUGGCUAGGGACCCCAGAGAUGCAGGCAAAAGCCUGUGCCGUAAGCCACAUUCCUCACUUAGGCCCCCUUCCAGGGGAAGCGAAGUCAAGCCCUGGUAAAUGCUUCUCAUCUCUGGGUCCAGCUGGGAGAACAGUGGCAUGAUGACAUGCUACCCAUGUAGCCAAGCUCCCCCUCUUCCUCCCUUGCACCUAUCGUUUCCAUCCUGUUCAUUUGCCAGUUAUUACAGGAGCACCACGGGCAGGCCACACAGCUAGUGCUGUGGAGAUGACACGUCUUAGUGAAGGAACGGAGGGACCGGCAUGGGGAUGGAUGAGGGAAACGCCUGACCAUAAACCUAAACAUCUAAAGAUCUGGAGGAGCCACGGGGAAGUGGGACUGUGUGAUGAUGUCAGACAUUUCAAGCCCUGCCUCAGUGCUCUGACUCUGAAUCUUGCUGGUCCUGAUCAGCGCCUGCCCCAUUGUUGUAAGUUUCUCCUUACUGGGGUUCUUUGCAGGGAGGCAUGUGGAACGGGAACGGAGCAGUGCACAGCAGAGUGACAGAGUCUUGAGAGGACUCAGGCAAGCAGGAGAGAAAAGGCCUCUAGCCAGAGUCAGCUGCACCCAACAGAAAGUUCCCUCUGAAAGGAGGGAAGAGGCCUGCUGGGGCAGCCUCUGUCAGCACAAAAGCAGGGCUAGGGCAGUCACUAACAGCACAGCUAUCUAGAACAAAGAAGGGUUUUGGAAAGAAGAGGCAGGCUGUAUUACAGCUGUACUGGAGAUGGAUGAUUGGUGGCUUUCCUGAGUGCAUGUUGUGUGUGUGUGUUUGCGUGUGUGCGCACAUGAACAUGCACUUGCCUGGGCCAGGGCUCCCUCAUCAUUUAAGGAUGUCUUCUGAUUGCUCUGGGAUGCAGGAAGCCACCCAGACCCUAGUUGCUGGACUCGCUCAGAGGCAAGAAUGCAAGGCCAAAGGCAGCAUGAGGAAAAGCUGGUAGGGGCUGAAACCAGCCCAGCCUGCUUCAUGCUUACUCCGCUCAGGUUGGCAGGCCCUACUGAGACUUGCCAAUCUCUAAGUCUCCAGCGUGUCUGAAGAGGUACAACCUGAGGACUCAGUGCCUGAGCGCUGCUGGAAGACGUGGGGACACCCCCAAAGGAGGAAAGUGUCCUUCUGGGAGCCACUUGCACAGUGGUGUUGAUCAUGGCAAUCCUGCAUGUGGUAUUCCACGUGGGAGGGGCAGUUCCACUGGGAGCUCCCCUUUACACAGGGUUUCCCAACACCAGAGCUCCUCAGACGGAUAGCCACUGGAGUGCUAACUAAAGAAACCAACAGCAAAAACAAACAUAUGCCCACAAACGAUUCCAGAGAAGCUCUGCACCAACAGGUGCUGGUCCUGACCAAAUCAGGCUAGAAGUCUGAUGACACCUUUACCUGUUCCGGAUCCCACGACGUCCCGGCUAGGUGACUCGGCCAUGGCGUCGGCAAGUCGCUCCCGGAGGCCCUCCUCCGUGUGCUCCAUGGAGGACAUGUGCCGCAGCCCGAAGCCCUCAGGCCAGCUCCCGCACACCUCCAGCAGGGUCACGCUCCUGUCAAAGGUACCUGUGGCACACACGGGACAUCUGACGUUGAGUCCACACCUUCAGGGAGCAGGCCAUUCUUGUCUACCUCCCACCCGCUCCUCUCCAUACCCAGGGUCCAUUGUAGCCUUCCUGUAGGAUGGAAGCACGCCGCCAACAGACUGGGUAGCGCAGGAGAAAUAGCUCAUGCCGCUGAGAGAGUGCAGACCUCUGGAGUGACUUCCGUGACACUGAGGCUGGUGGUUUUACAACUGUUUCUGAGGAGCUACAGGGUUCCCCUGGUCUUCAGGGACCACCUUAAGAAGUGGGACGGGGAAGGCAACCCCCUUCCCAGGUUCAACCCAAACGGAUCCCUACUUUCCUCUUUUUGAUACAAUGGGAUUCCAUCUACAAUUUCAUUUAGGGCGGGGAGUGGUGCCUUACACCUGCAAUCCCAACACUUUGAGAGGCCAACGCGGGAAGAUUGCUUGAGGCCAGGACUUUGAGACCAGCCUGGGCAACAGCGCGAGACCCUGUCUCUACAAAUAAAUAAAUAAAUAAAUAAAUAAAUUUUCAUUUAAAGAAGGGGUUAUAUAGCCUAAUGUUUUUAAAGCUUUCUUAACCAUUAUAUUCUAUAACCUAUAACCAACUUCCUCAUUUUAUAGUUGGAGCUCAGAGAAGUUAUGGCCCAAGAUGGAAGAGCAAGUCUGUGGCAGACGAGGUCCAAGAACUCGCUCUCCUGAUGCCUCAGUUGAGAACACGUUCUACUUCACUACCUGGUCUCCCAGCUACCCAAGGGCAUAUGAACAACCAGGGAAUUACUUUGGGGGAUACCAGCAAGGAGCUAGGAAGUUGAGGAGCGAAGAUGGGAGAUAUCAGAAGUGUUCAGCAAAGAAGCACCUGAUCAUUUCUACCGUCCUGAGACGUCAUAGAGAGGAUACAAUCAGUGGUCCUGCUUAUCCUGCUAGGAGUCCCAUCAGAGGCUCUGCCAUACCCGCUGUCUCUUUCCCUUCCACACCUCGUAGCCUCUUUGCUGAGGACAGCAAAGGUGCUCCUGGAAUCUCCCUGUCCCAGAGUGAGAGCAAGGCUGCAGAUUUGGAGAUCCUGGAAAUUGGAAAAAACAAAACAAUCUGUCUAGGACGGCAGAGAGAGCUGGUCUCAUCCAGGUGAGUGUCCCGAAUCCUGCUUCCCAGCUUGGCAUCCUGUGUUAUACUCUUUCCCCAGAGGAGAAAUGGGUCAGGUUCUUGGGUUUCACAAACCCAUUAAAGGCAUGCUGUGACAGCUGGCAAGCUGGUAGCUCCUGGGGAGGCUGGGGGAACACGUGCUUUGCCUUUGUACACCAUUGUUAAAGAGGCAAGGAAGCCUAGUGACUGCAGGUGGAGGGGGACAGGUAGGAUGCUCCUCUAAGCUGAUAGUGUCUAAUCACACUCUAGCUAUUUAAGAGACUGUGGCACAGCCUCCGCUUUGCGUUAAUGAGGUUCUGCCCAGGUUUGGAUUUUGCUGAGAGCCUGCUGAUCAGAUUUCUAACCACCAGGGAGGCCAGAUACCAAAAGCAAAACCUGCAUUAAGCAGUGCUUUGCAAGAUGUAAGCCCUCCUUGGUGAGAGGUUGUGAUGAUGACGUCUACAAUAACUAAGAAAUGAUCCCAGGCAUGAUGAGGGGAACCAGUGUAGAGGGGAGCCUCCUUGGCAAGCUUACCAAACUGCUCACCAAACGGAGCUUAAGAGUGCUGCUGCGGGGAGCACCCCUUUCUCCACACUACAAGUUGGUUCCCAUAAGCACAGGCUGAGGACAUUAGCUCUUCUUGGUGCAAUGGUCAAUUUCAUGUAUCAACUUGACUGGACUAAGGGAUGCCCAGAUAGCCAGCAAGGCUUAUUUCUGGGUGUGUCUGGGGGGUGUUUCUGGGAGAGAUUAGCAUUCGAGUUGGUAGACUGAGGAAAGAAGAUUGCCCUCACCAUUGUGGGCAGGCAUCAUUCAACUGAGGGCCUAAAUAUAUUAAAAAGGUGGAGGAAAGGCAAAUUUGUUCUCUCUGUCGGAGUUAGGACACUAAUUCCUGCCCUUGGACACUGGUACUCCUGGUUCUCAGGCCUUUGAACUUGGACCGGGACUUACACCAUCAGCUCCCCUGGUUAUAUACCACCAGCCUUCUUGGUUCUUCACCUUCAGACAACAGACAGUGGGACUUCUUGACCUCCAUUUCCAAUUCCCAAAAUAAAUCUUCUUAUAUCUAUGCAUCUCUGGAGAUAUCUCUUUUAUUAGUUGUUUCCUUAGAGAACCCUGGCUCAUAUAAUUAGCCAUCAGAUGUGUCCACAGAUAUAUUAUAUAUACCACAGCUAUAUUAUAUAUUAUACCUGUGGACACAUCUGAUGGCCAAUUAUAUGAGCCAGCGUUCUCCCACAGUGAGAUAGAUAUAGAUAUAGAUCAGAUAUUAUAUUAUGUUAUAUAUUAUGUGUAUCAUAUCGCAUGGUCCUGAGCCAGGGAAAAGGAGUUCAAUGGCAAUUGGACUAAGAAUUUCUUUGCAAUCUAACACAGUUAUUUUGACAAGGAGACCAUUUUCACAACUGCAAAAUAUGCAAUUGCAUAAUGCACACUUUAAAGCUUAGAACAUAGAUUACAUCUGAGUCAUAACUGGAAUUCUCCCAUUAACUUUUCUGGUUACUCUGGGCAAGUUGCUACUCCGUCUGGGUCUUUUCUUUUUUUUUUUUUAAUUCUUUUUCUCUCUCAGCAGAAUCAUCCCUCUAGGUCUUAAUUUCCCCAUUUAUGACACAGAAAAUAAAUAAAUGAUGCCCAUUUAAGGGGUUCACAUUGGCACUAAUAGUUUCAAUGUCGUUAACAAUAGUAUACUUCCAGAAAAUGGUGUCUGAUAUUUGAGGUAUCCUAGGGUAAAAGCUACCAAUUUCAUUUUCUACAAACCAGAUAACAGUCAGCAGUUAUACCAUAAGAGUCUUGUUUUUACCCAAUUAAAGGCAUAUGUUAAGCAGAAGACCUGGGUUCAAAUGCCAGCUCUUGUUACUUUCUCACUGCAUGACGUUGGAAGAGUCAUUUUCCCUGUUUGAACUUUGCUUUCCUUAUCCACUGCAAUGGGUAGAAUGGUGUUCCACCCCACCACGCCACCCAAAAGAUAUGUCCAGCAGGAGCCUCAGAAUGUGGCCUUAUUUGGAAAUGGGUCCUUGCAAAUGUAAUUAAGGAUCUCAAGUUGAGAUCAUCCUGGGUUUAGGGUGGGUCCUAAAUCCAAUGACUGGUGUCCUUAAAAGAGAAAAGAGGGGAUCAGAGACACAGAAGGAAGAAGCCCAUGUGAAGACAAAGACAGAUGUGAGUUAUCCUGCCUAAGCCAAGUAAUGCCAGGAGUGGUGAGAAGCCAGAAGAAGCAAGGAAGGACAGCAUGGCCCUGCUCACACCCCGAUUUCAGAAUGCUAGCCUCCAGAAAUACAAGAGAAUACAUCUGUUGUUUUAAGUCACCAGGUUUAUGGUAAUUCCUUAAAGCAGCCUAGGAAAAUAAUAAACCUAUAAAACAGGGAAACAAAUAUUUGGCUUCCAGAGCUGUUGUGAGCAUCAGACCAGAUAGUAUUAUGAAAGACUGUAUUAAACAAAAGUUGGUUGGGCAUAGUGGCUCACACCUGUAAUUCCAACACUUUGGGAGGCCAAGGCAGGUGGAUCACCUGAGGUCAGUAGUUUGAGACCAGCCUGACCAAUAUGGUGAAACCCCAUCUCUACUAAAAAAUAUAAAAAUUAUCCGGGUGUGGUGGCGUGCAUCUGUAGUCCCAGCUACUUGGGAGGCUGACAGGAGAUUUCUUGAACCCAGGAGAUGGAGGUUGCAGUGAGCCGAGGCUGCGCCACUGCACUCCAGUCUGGGCGACAGAGUGAGACUCUGUCUCAAAAAAAAAAAAAAGAAAAGUUAUGGGAGGCCACUGUUUUGAACUGAGCUCCUGCACUAGGCCCCACACACCAGACCAAAAUGAAAUGGAAUCACCCAUGCUAAAUGCCACACAAUCAAACUGAAACUUUAAGGAAGCAGAUAGAUCCCAAAACAGACCAGCUAUUCCUGAAAAUGGGAGAUUUCAGUCUAACUGAGUCAGGGUAGCCUUUAAUCCUUUACAAAAAAAGAACCUGGCCAGGCGCAGUGGCUCACGCCUUUAAUCCCAGCACUUCGGGAGGCCAAGGUGGGCGGAUCACCUGAAGUCAGGAGUCUGAGACCAGCCUGGCCAACAUGGCAAAACCCUGUCGCUAUUAAAAAUACAAAAAUUAGCUGGGCAUGGUGGUGCAUGCCUGUAAUUCCAGCUACUCAGGAGGCUGAAGCAGGAAAAUCACUUGAAUUUGGUGGGCAGAGAUUGCAGUGAGAUCCGCGGCACCGCACUCCAGCCUGGGCAACAAAGAGAGAGUCCGUCUCAAAAAAAAAAAACAAAACCUUGAAGUAACCUGAUGUUAACCAAUGAGCUUUUUUUUUUUUCUAUUGUUUCCUUGAUCUCACCUUAAAAAACCCGCUGUUCUACCACUGCCCAGUGGGAGCUCUCAUUCUAUUUUGUAGAAUGGAGGCUGCCCAGAUUCAUGAAUCACAAAUAAAAGCCAAUUAGAUCUAUAAUGAAGUUUGUUAUAAUUUUGUCUUUUGACAAGUGCUUUGUAAGCUACACAGGCCCAUUCAAAAUUAGAGGAUUACCCCAGGGCUCUGUAAGCAGCUCUUCUUUGGGGCAGUGGGAUUCUAUGAAAGGCUAAGAGAGUGACUG